UGGGGAAUAUUGCACAAUGGACGGAAGUCUGAUGCAGCAACGCCGCGUGCGGGAUGACGGCCUUCGGGUUGUAAACCGCUUUUUCUCAUGACGAAGUUUUUUGACGGUAGUGGGGGAAGAAGCACCGGCUAACUACGUGCAAGCAGCCGCGGUGAUACGUAGGGUGCGAGCGUUGUCCGGAAUUAUUGGGCGUAAAGAGCUUGUAGGCGGUUUGUCGCGUCGAUAGUGCAAACUCAGUGCUUAACGCUGAGCCUGCUGUUGAUACGGGCAGACUAGAGGAAGGUAGGGGAGAAUGGAAUUCCCGGUGGAGCGGUGGAAUGCGCAGAUAUCGGGAGGAACACCGGUGGCGAAGGCGGUUCUCUGGGCCUUUCCUGACGCUGAGAAGCGAAAGCGUGGGGAGCGAACAGG
RNAcentral lists this ribosomal RNA (408 nucleotides) under Fusobacteriota bacterium. RNAcentral describes it as "Fusobacteria bacterium partial 16S ribosomal RNA". It matches the Rfam family "Bacterial small subunit ribosomal RNA", at positions 355 to 776 of the family's 1533-position model. The record is from RNAcentral. Lineage: Bacteria; Fusobacteriati; Fusobacteriota.